Molecule: ribosomal RNA, 1502 nt
Filed under: metagenome
Description: bacterial SSU rRNA
Rfam family: Bacterial small subunit ribosomal RNA
Source: RNAcentral
AGAAUUUGAUCCUGGUUCAGAUUGAACGCUGACGGCGUGGAUGAGGCAUGCAAGUCGAACGAAGCGUCAUUGAGCUUGCUCAAUGACACUUAGUGGCGGAAGGGUUAGUAAUACAUAGGCAACCUACCUAUAACACCGGGAUAACGACUGGAAACGGUCGCUAAUACCGGAUGUGGUGACGCUGGGGCAUCCCAGUGUCAUUAAAGUUGGGGAUCUUCGGACCUUGCGGUUAUAGAGGGGCCUAUGGGAUAUCAGCUUGUUGGUGAGGUAACGGCUCACCAAGGCUAAGACGUCUAGGCGGAUUGAGAGGUUGACCGCCAACACUGGGACUGAGACACUGCCCAGACUCCUACGGGAGGCUGCAGUCGAGAAUCAUUCGCAAUGGGCGAAAGCCUGACGAUGCGACGCCGUGUGAGCGAAGAAGGCCUUCGGGUCGUAAAGCUUUUUCGCCCGGGAACAAAGAUAAAGGGUUAAUACCCCUUUGUUUUGAGGGUACCGGGAAAAGAAGCGCCGGCUAACUCCGUGCCAGCAGCUGCGGUAAUACGGAGGGCGCAAGCGUUAAUCGGAUUCAUUGGGUGUAAAGGGGGCGUAGGCUGGAAUGCAAGUCGGAUGUGAAAUCCCGGAGCUCAACUCCGGAACGGCAUCUGAUACUACAUUUCUUGAGGUUAGGCGGGGAGAACAGAAUUCCAUGUGUAGCGGUGAAAUGCGUAGAUAUAUGGAGGAAUACCUGUGGCGAAGGCGGUUCUCUAGCUUACACCUGACGCUGAGGCCCGAAAGCCAGGGGAGCAAACAGGAUUAGAUGCCCUGGUGGUCCUGGCCGUAAACGAUGUAUACUUGGUGUAGUGGGACUUAACCCCGACUGUGCCGGAGCUAACGUGUUAAGUAUACCACCUGGGGAGUACGCUCGCAAGGGUGAAACUCAAAAGAAUUGACGGGGGCCCGCACAAGCAGUGGAGCAUGUGGUUUAAUUCGAUGCAACGCGAAGAACCUUACCCAGGUUUGACAUACAGAGGACCGCACCAGAAAUGGUGUUUCUCGUGAGAGUCUCUGAACAGGUGCUGCAUGGCUGUCGUCAGCUCGUGCCGUGAGGUGUUGGGUUAAGUCCCGCAACGAGCGCAACCCUUAUCGCUAGUUGCCAACAAGUAAUGCUGGGAACUCUAGCGAGACUGCCUCGGUUAACGAGGAGGAAGGUGAGGAUGAGGUCAAGUCAGCAUGGCCCUUAUGCCUGGGGCUACACACGUGCUACAAUGUCGGUACAACGGGAAGCGAAACCGCGAGGUGGAGCAAAUCCAAAAAGCCGGCCUUAGUUCGAAUUGGAGUCUGCAACUCGACUCCAUGAAGCCGGAAUUGCUAGUAAUGGUGCGUCAGCAAUAGCGCCGUGAAUACGUUCCCGGGCCUUGUACACACCGCCCGUCACAUCAUGGAAGUUGGUCUUACCCGAAGUCGCUGACUCAACCGCAAGGAGAGAGGCGCCGAAGGUGAGGCUGAUGACUAGGAUGAAG